ACUGCAGUGUUGGCACUUCC
Molecule: microRNA, 20 nt
Filed under: Anolis carolinensis (green anole)
Lineage: Eukaryota; Metazoa; Chordata; Lepidosauria; Squamata; Anolidae
Description: aca-miR-106-3p
Gene: aca-miR-106-3p
Source: miRBase by way of RNAcentral